Molecule: ribosomal RNA, 460 nt
Filed under: uncultured bacterium
Lineage: Bacteria
Description: partial 16S ribosomal RNA
Rfam family: Bacterial small subunit ribosomal RNA
Source: RNAcentral
CCUACGGGAGGCAGCAGUGAGGAAUAUUGGUCAAUGGGCGCAAGCCUGAACCAGCCAAGCAGCGUGAAGGAUGACUGCCCUAUGGGUUGUAACCUUCUUUUAUAUGGGAAUAAAGUGCAGUAUGUAUACUGCUUUGCAUGUACCUUAUGAAUAAGGAUCGGCUAACUCCGUGCCAGCAGCCGCGGUAAUACGGAGGAUCCGAGCGUUAUCCGGAUGUAUUGGGUUUAAAGGGGGCGUAGGCGGGUUGUUAAGUCAGUUGUGAAAGUUUGCGGCUCAACCGUGAAAUUGCAGUUGAUACUGGCAGACUAGAGUACAGUAGAGGUAGGCGGAAUUCGUGGUGUAGCGGUGAAAUGCUGAGAUAUCACGAAGAACUCCGAUUGCGAAGGCAGCUUGCUGGUCUGUAACUGACGCUGAUGCUCGAAAGCGUGGGUAGCAAACAGGAUUAGAUACCCGAGUAGUC